RNAcentral lists this long non-coding RNA (1013 nucleotides) under Taeniopygia guttata (zebra finch). RNAcentral's name for it is "lncRNA (ENSTGUG00000019421.1)". Lineage: Eukaryota; Metazoa; Chordata; Aves; Passeriformes; Estrildidae. The record is from RNAcentral.
AUGGAACCUGCUCCAGCCCCGUCCCCUCACCGCCCAGGGACCUCCCGCCAGGGGGCGCCGCUCCGCCCGCCGCCCCUUCCGCCGCUGCCGCCCGUCAAUGGCGCCCGGGCUCGUCCCGGUCCCGGUCCCGGUCCCGGUCCCCUCGCGUGUCCCUCGGAGGGCAUGCGGGCAUGGCACCCCGUCCCCUCCCAUCCCGCGUGGCCGCUCCCGUGCCGUGUGUCCCGCGGCGGGGCGGGCGGAGCAGAGGGAAGCCGGUGGAUCUGGCGGAAUCACGUGGCGCGGUCCCUGCUGGCGGGCGGGACGGUGGCCGGGAGGGUUUCCCGGGCAACCGCGCCGCCGGCGAGCGGGGCGGCCGCGCUGCGCGGGGCCCGGCGCGGUGCAGGUGCGUGCCCGGCGCCCGGGCAGCGCUCGGCUCCGAGCCGCGGCCUCUUUCUUCCCUCUCCCGCUGCUCCCCGGGCGCCCGUCGGGCCUUGGAGCCGGGCCCGGUCCGCCCGUCCCCGAGCCCCGCGCUGCCGUGCGCCAGCCGCGCCUGUGCUCCAGGGAAAGCCGGCGGAGGAGGAAGAGGAUCGGGUCACGGCUGGGAUGAUUGAAAGUUUAUUCCCCGGCCAGUGCCGCCUUUGUUUUGUGCGCGAAGUCGUUUGUGAGCCGCCCGGUCUGAAGAUACGGCUGAAAAGUAUAUCUGCUAAGGUUAAUGUUUGCCUCUGAUCUUCUGUUACUGAAACGGUAAACAUGUUUGUUGUCCUUCAGGUUACAUAUUAUUAGUUUUUAUAAAAGAUGUAAUUAUAGGGUAGGCAGAAGAAAGCCGUCAUUCUAAGGUAGGAAGAAGUAAGCAUAAUGUCAGGAGAAUCACUUUGUUUUUCUGGCAAAGCUAGAAUUAAAUAUUCCCCACUUGCUAAAGCAACACGCACCGUUAGUAAAUUGCUAAAGCAUCCUGUGUUUAACAUCAAGUGUUCUUUGAUGUGAAAGUAUAAAAGGAUACUGGAUUAUGUGUGCCCUGAGAGGUAAUGUUCUUA